RNAcentral lists this long non-coding RNA (2328 nucleotides) under Brassica napus (rape). Its description in RNAcentral is "long non-coding RNA (BNAP_LNC007230)". Lineage: Eukaryota; Viridiplantae; Streptophyta; Magnoliopsida; Brassicales; Brassicaceae. The record is from RNAcentral.
UAGACCAAGGCGGAGUAUGAUAAGGAGUGCAAGAUAUGUACGCGGCCGUUCACGGUGUUUAGGUGGAGACCUGGAAGAGACGCUAGAUACAAGAAGACGGAGAUUUGUCAGACUUGCUGCAAGCUGAAGAAUGUGUGUCAAGUCUGUCUUCUUGAUCUUGAGUAUGGUCUUCCUGUUCAAGCCAGGGACACUGCGCUUAACAUUAGUACUCAUGACUCUAUCCCAAAGAGUGAUGUUAACAGAGAGUACUUCGCUGAGGAGCAUGACAGGAAGGUAUGAUGAAUAACCAACUCUCACAUUAAUUAGUAAGUUAGUUUUUUCACAUGGUGGCUUAUUUAAUUCAAGUGAUUUUUUUUUUGUCUUGUGUAGACUAGAGCUGGACUGGAUUAUGAAUCUUCAUUUGGGAAGAUGCGUCCUAAUGAUACUAUUUUGAAGCUUCAAAGAACAACACCGUACUAUAAGAGGAAUAGAGCACAUGUUUGUAGUUUCUUCAUCAGGGGUGAGUGUACUAGAGGUGAGGAAUGUCCAUACCGGCAUGAGAUGCCUGAAACAGGAGAGCUUUCUCAGCAGAACAUAAAAGACCGUUAUUAUGGGUAAGCUGUUUUCUUCUGUAUGCAUGACUUUGUUGAUGUUUACUUGCCUUCUCAAAUGCUUGUUUCAGUAUCUCCCUUGAUAAAGUUUGUUAAGUUUUACAUGUAUCUGCUAUGGUACUAUUUUCUCUUUGAUCAGUUUAGACAUUCAUUCAUUCUUUGGAAGCCACUAACAUAUAUGAAUUGUGAUGUUCAAUUCUUGAGCUGAACUUAGCUCUAUGUUCGCUUAGUCUUGUUAUAGCCUUUUCUAAUUUUUUUGUUCUCUUAGAGCAUCAACAUUGAGGGUAUCUUAAUGGGUCUCUCUCAUGAAACCUUCAAGUCUUUGACGUUGAUGCUAUUAAUGUAUUAGUCUUUUGACAUAUAUGAUUUCUGAUCGUCAAUUCUUGCGAUGAACUAUGCUAUGUCGGCUCUCAUGUAGUUUCAUUUAUUCAUGUCAAACAGUCGGUUUGAACUAUUUCUAAUUUUCUUUUACAUUUUCGCAGUGUUAAUGAUCCGGUUGCGAUGAAGUUACUUGGAAAAGCUGGUGAGAUGGGCACUUUAGAAUCACCAGACGAUCAAAGCAUCAAAACGCUUUAUGUCGGUGGACUUAAUUCAAGAAUUCUCGAGCAGGACUUACGAGAUCAGUUCUACGCUUAUGGAGAGAUCGAGUCCAUCCGAAUCUUGGCCGACAAAGCAUGCGCGUUUGUCACAUACACAGCCCGUGAAGGAGCAGAGAAGGCUGCGCAAGAGCUCUCCAACAGGCUAGUCGUCAAUGGUCAGAGGCUAAAACUCAUGUGGGGAAGGCCUCAGGCUCCCAGACCUGAUCAAGAUGGUUCGAACCAACAGGGCGGUGUGGCUCAUAGUGGUUUGCUACCUCGAGCCGUUAUAUCUCAGCAACAUAAUCAACCGCCAUCGAUGCAACAGUACUACAUGCACCCACCACCACCUCGUAAAAGAUAAAUCACACGCGGGUUUUGACCUAUUAUUAGGGAUAGAUAGAACCGUCGUCCGCCGUUACCUUUCGUCGUGCUCGAGAUUGAAAUCGAGCGAAUCGCGAGAAAGGAAGAGAGAAAUGGCUCACAGGAUUCUCAGAGAUCACGACGCCGAUGGAUGGGAGCGAUCCGAUUUCCCAAUCGUCUGCGAGUCUUGCCUCGGUGACAAUCCCUACGUUCGAAUGGUGAUUCCUCUUAUUCAAUCUCUCUUGCUCGUUGAUGAGAUUCGAGUGCUUAAACCUAGUAAAAGUUAGAUUUAGAGUUUAAGAAGCUAUCAAAAUCGUUGGAGCUUUGGUUUUGAGAUCCAGAUUCGUCUAGUUACAUUUCGAAUUUUGAUUAUUGCUGAUUGAAGUGUUAUUUGUUGGUGUGUAAACCAAUGAUGAUUCCUCUCUUUCACUCUCUUGCUCGUUGAUGAGAUUUGAGUACUUAAACCUAGUAAAAGUUAGGUUUAGUGCUUAAGUAGCUAUCAGAUUCGCUCGGAGCUUUGGUUUUGAGAUCCAGAUUCGUCUAGUUACAUUUCGAAUUUUGAUUAUUGUUGUUUGUUGGUGUGUAGACCAAGGCGGAGUAUGAUAAGGAGUGCAAGAUAUGUACGCGGCCGUUCACGGUGUUUAGGUGGAGACCUGGAAGAGACGCUAGAUACAAGAAGACGGAGAUUUGUCAGACUUGCUGCAAGCUGAAGAAUGUGUGUCAAGUCUGUCUUCUUGAUCUUGAGUAUGGUCUUCCUGUUCAAGCCAGGGACACUGCGCUUAACAUUAGUACUCAUGACU